This 468-nucleotide ribosomal RNA is filed under the name uncultured bacterium. RNAcentral's name for it is "partial 16S ribosomal RNA". It matches the Rfam family "Bacterial small subunit ribosomal RNA", at positions 28 to 507 of the family's 1533-position model. The record is from RNAcentral.
GACGAACGCUGGCGGCGUGCUUAACACAUGCAAGUCGAACGGAAAGGCCCUGCUAUUGUGGGGUGCUCGAGUGGCGAACGGGUGAGUAACACGUGAGCAACCUGCCCUUGACUUUGGGAUAACUUCAGGAAACUGGGGCUAAUCCCGGAUAGCAGCUCCUGCUGCAUGGUGGGGGUUGGAUAGUUUCGGCGGUUGGGGAUGGACGCGCGGCUUAUCAGCUUGUUGGUGGGGUAGUGGCUUACCAAGGCUUUGACGGGUAGCCGGCCUGAGAGGGUGACCGGCCACAUUGGGACUGAGAUACGGCCCAGACUCCUACGGGAGGCAGCAGUGGGGAAUAUUGCACAAUGGGCGGAAGCCUGAUGCAGCAACGCCGCGUGCGGGAUGACGGCCUUCGGGUUGUAAACCGCUUUCGCCUGUGACGAAGCGUGAGUGACGGUAAUGGGUGAAGAAGCACCGGCUAACUACGUG